GGCUAAUACCGGAUGUGGUCACGACAUCGCACUGGUGUUGUGAUUAAAGAUGGCUUCGGACUAUCGUCCACGGAUGAGCUUGCGGCCCAUUAGCUUGUUGGUGAGGUAACGGCUCACCAAUGCGACGAUGGGUAGCCGACCUGAGAGGGUGAUCGGCCACAUUGGGACUGAUAUACGGACCAGACUCCUACAGGAGGCAGCAGUAGGGAAUUUCGCGCAAUGGACGAAAGUCUGACGCAUCGACGCCGCGUGAGGGAUGACGGCCUUCGGGUUGGAAACCUCUGUUGAGUGGGACGAAAACUCGCAGUGGUUAAUACCCCUGCGGCCUGACGGUACCACUCGAGGAAGCUCCGGCUAACUACGUGCCAGCAGGCGCGGUAAUACGUAGGGAGCAAGCGUUGUUCGGAAUCACUGGGCGUAAAGGGAGUGUAGGCGGGAAAGUAAGUUAGGAGUGAAAUACACAUGCUUAACCUGUGGCCCGCUCUUAAUACUGCUUAUCUUGAGUAUGGGACAGGAAGAUGGAAUUCCAGGUGUAGCGGCGGACUGCGUACAUCUCUGGAAGAACACCAGUAGCGAAUGCGGUCUUCUGGUCCAAUACUGACGCUGAGGCUCGAAAGCUAGGGGAGCAAACAGGAUUAGAUACCCUGGUAGUCCUAGCCGUAAACGAUGGACACUAGUUCUCGGGGGAGUCAAUCCCCUCGGUGACGAAGCUAACGCAUUAAGUGUCCCGCCUGGGGAGUACGCUAGCAAGGGUGUUACUCUAAGGUAUUGACGGGGGCCCGCACAAGCGGUGGAGCAUGUGCUUUAAUUCGAUGCAACGCGAAGAACCUUACAUGGGUUUGACAUGGGGGUGAAAGUAACCAGAGAUGGAUACCUUUCCUUCGGGAACACCCCACACAGGUGCUGCAUGGUUGUCGUCAGCUCGUCUCGUGAGAUGUUGGGUUAAAGUCCCGCUAUGAGCGCAACCCGUACCGUUAGUUGCCAGCGGGUUAUUCCUGGGAUACUCUAGGGGGACUGCGUGGACUAACCAGGAGGAAGUUGGGGAUGACGUCAAAUCCUCUUGGCCCUUACGCCCAGGGCUAGACACGUGCUACAAUGGCCGGUAACUAUAGGCUGCGAACUCGCGAGAGUAAGCUAAUCCGAUCAAACACGGCCUCAGUUCGGAUUGGAGUCUGCAACUCGAUUCCAUGAAGGUGGAAUCGCUAGUAAUCGCGGAUCAGCAUGCCGCGGUGAAUACGUUCCCGGGCCUUGUACACACCGCCCGUCAAGCCAUGAAAGACGGU
This 1283-nucleotide ribosomal RNA is filed under the name uncultured organism. RNAcentral's name for it is "bacterial SSU rRNA". It matches the Rfam family "Bacterial small subunit ribosomal RNA", at positions 161 to 1415 of the family's 1533-position model. The record is from RNAcentral.